Molecule: long non-coding RNA, 314 nt
Organism: Sphaeramia orbicularis (orbiculate cardinalfish)
Lineage: Eukaryota; Metazoa; Chordata; Actinopteri; Kurtiformes; Apogonidae
Exons: 3
Source: RefSeq, a predicted model, not a curated record
CUGUCAUCAAAUGCCAUGGAAUCUAUGCCAGUGCCUCAAUAUGCGCCCACUGUCUCUCAACUCAUGUGCAGUCUGUGGAAUUGAUGUAUCUUCUACUCAAUAAAUAAUGCCUGUGAAGUGAUGUAUUUUUGACAGUAGAGUCACAUUAGUGAAUUCACAUUUAUGAUGGAGAAAGCAUAAUUGUAAAGUUGCAUUUCGUGUUUGUAAUUCUUCAUGUCAAAAUUGUUUCAUUCAUAUUCUGAUAGAUAAAAUACACACAAUACAUUUUAUGUACGACUGAAUUCAUUCAAAAGUUUGCAAAUAUUUAUUUUUUG